RNAcentral lists this ribosomal RNA (253 nucleotides) under uncultured bacterium. Its description in RNAcentral is "partial 16S ribosomal RNA". It matches the Rfam family "Bacterial small subunit ribosomal RNA", at positions 524 to 776 of the family's 1533-position model. The record is from RNAcentral.
GACGUAGGGCGCGAGCGUUGUCCGGAUUUAUUGGGCGUAAAGAGCUCGUAGGCGGCUUGUCGCGUCGGCUGUGAAAACCCGCGGCUCAACUGUGGGCGGGCAGCUGAUACGGGCAGGCUGGAGUUCGGUAGGGGAGACUGGAAUUCCUGGUGUAGCGGUGGAAUGCGUAGAGAUCCGGAGGAACACCAGCGGCGAAGGCGGCGUCCUGGACUGGUACUGACGCUCAGGAGCGAAAGCGUGGGGAGCGAUCCGG